This 443-nucleotide ribosomal RNA is filed under the name uncultured bacterium. Its description in RNAcentral is "partial 16S ribosomal RNA". It matches the Rfam family "Bacterial small subunit ribosomal RNA", at positions 338 to 795 of the family's 1533-position model. The record is from RNAcentral.
CCUACGGGAGGCAGCAGUGGGGAAUAUUGGGCAAUGGAGGCAACUCUGACCCAGCAACGCCGCGUGAAUGAUGAAGGUCUUCGGAUUGUAAAGUUCUGUGAUGGGGGAUGAACACAAUGACGGUACCCCAAUAGCAAGCCACGGCUAACUACGUGCCAGCAGCCGCGGUAAUACGUAGGUUGCAAGCGUUAUCCGGAAUGACUGGGCGUAAAGGGUGCGGAGGUGGUUUAGUAAGUUGGCGGUGUAAUUCCGGGGCUCAACCUCGGCGCUACCGCCAAAACUAUUAGACUAGAGUGCAGGGGUGGUAAGUGGAAUUCCUAGUGUAGCGGUGGAAUGCGUAGAUAUUAGGAGGAACAUCAGGGGCGAAGGCGACUUACUGGACUGUAACUGACACUGAGGCACGAAAGCGUGGGGAGCAAACAGGAUUAGAUACCCCUGUAGUC